Molecule: ribosomal RNA, 494 nt
Filed under: uncultured bacterium
Lineage: Bacteria
Description: partial 16S ribosomal RNA
Rfam family: Bacterial small subunit ribosomal RNA
Source: RNAcentral
GACGAACGCUGGCGGCGUGCUUAACACAUGCAAGUCGAACGGAAAGGCCUGCUUUCCCUUGUGGAUUGCGGGUACUCGAGUGGCGAACGGGUGAGUAACACGUGAGUGAUCUGCCCCCAACUUGGGUAUAAGCCUGGGAAACUAGGUCUAAUUCCCGAUAGGACCGCAGGGUGGUGUCUGUGGUGGCAAACGAUUUUCUAGUGGUUGGGGAUGAGCUCGCGGCCUAUCAGCUUGUUGGUGGGGUAAGGGCCUACCAAGGCGGCGACGGGUAGCCGGCCUGGGAGGGGGGACGGCCACAUUGGGACUGAGAUACGGCCCAGACGCCUACGGGAGGCAGCAGUGGGGAAGAAUGCGCGGUGGGCGGAAGCCUGAUGCAGCGACGCCGCGUGGGGGAUGACGGCCUUCGGAUUGUAAACUCCUUUCGACCGCGAGGAAGCCACCUGGUUGGAAGGGUGGUGACGGUAGUGGUAGAAGAAGCACCGGCUAACUACGUG